AAUUCCAGGUGUAGCGGUGAAAUGCGUAGAGAUCUGGAGGAAUACCGGUGGCGAAGGCGGCCCCCUGGACAAAGACUGACGCUCAGGUGCGAAAGCGUGGGGAGCAAACAGGAUUAGAUACCCUGGUAGUCCACGCCGUAAACGAUGUCUACUUGGAGGUUGUGCCCUUGAGGCGUGGCUUCCGGAGCUAACGCGUUAAGUAGACCGCCUGGGGAGUACGGCCGCAAGGUUAAAACUCAAAUGAAUUGACGGGGGCCCGCACAAGCGGUGGAGCAUGUGGUUUAAUUCGAUGCAACGCGAAGAACCUUAC
RNAcentral lists this ribosomal RNA (310 nucleotides) under Salmonella enterica. Its description in RNAcentral is "bacterial SSU rRNA". It matches the Rfam family "Bacterial small subunit ribosomal RNA", at positions 665 to 974 of the family's 1533-position model. Lineage: Bacteria; Pseudomonadati; Pseudomonadota; Gammaproteobacteria; Enterobacterales; Enterobacteriaceae. RNAcentral also lists the same sequence under 4 other names. The record is from RNAcentral.